RNAcentral lists this transfer-messenger RNA (355 nucleotides) under Beijerinckia sp. 28-YEA-48. Its description in RNAcentral is "Alphaproteobacteria transfer-messenger RNA". It matches the Rfam family "Alphaproteobacteria transfer-messenger RNA". From Rfam's summary of the family: Bacterial tmRNA, also known as 10Sa RNA or SsrA, is named for its dual tRNA and mRNA-like properties. Its role is to liberate the mRNA from a stalled ribosome. Lineage: Bacteria; Pseudomonadati; Pseudomonadota; Alphaproteobacteria; Hyphomicrobiales; Beijerinckiaceae. The record is from Rfam by way of RNAcentral. RNAcentral also lists the same sequence under 1 other name.
GCUCUUCCCAUUCGGCGGCCGGACGCCUAUAUUCAAUCCGUCUCCGCAAGGAGACUAUGGUGAUAAACGGACAUCGUAAUAAGCCAUCCGGACCCGGGGGCGGUACCCGGCGCCUCCACCCAAAACCAUCCGCGCGGUGGUUUUCGGCGGGGGCGAAAUAGGUUCGACGGGGGUGUAAAAGGUGCUCUUUUGCCCGGCAUGAUACCGCCGUUAUCGGGUCAAACUUAUAGUUGCCAAUGACAACUAUGCUCCGGUGGCCGUCGCCGCGUAAUGCGGUGCCGAUACUGGUACCAAGCCCUGUAGGGUAGCACUUACAGGCGGGGCUCGGAGGCGCCUGGCAACAGAAGCCUCCACU